Long non-coding RNA from Balaenoptera ricei (Rice's whale), 794 nucleotides. RefSeq lists it as uncharacterized. The record is from RefSeq and is a predicted model, not a curated record. Lineage: Eukaryota; Metazoa; Chordata; Mammalia; Artiodactyla; Balaenopteridae. The transcript is spliced from 3 exons.
GUGUGGAGAGUGACCUGUGCUCACACACAGGCGUCUUGGUGGCGGCAGCAGCAGCCUUAGCGUCUCAUGCCCGUCUCUGGGGUCCACGCUUAAAACCCCCCUCUCUGGAGCUCCUUUAAGCAGCGCUCUGAAUCCCCUCUCCUCGCGGACCAGGAAAUAAAGAGGCAAGAAAAAGUCUCUUGCCUCUUCAGCAGCUGCAGACUUUUUCCAGGACUCCCUCCCGGCCAGCUGUGGCGCACUAGCCCCUUAAGGCUGUGUUCACGCCGCCAACCCCUGUCCUCUCCUGGGAUCUGACCUCCGAAGCCCAAGCCUCAGCCCCCAGCCCCCGCCCGCCCUGGCGGGUGAGCAGACAAGCCUCUCGGGCUGCCAGAGGCAGCGCACACCCUGAGCAGACCCUGAGCAGUGAAAGUGGGACCGCCAAGCUGCUUACCUGGAACUACACUCAGCAUCACGGCAUCAAGUCGCCAGAGCUUUGAACUGGGUUUGAGCGUCUGUGUUUUAUCUCAGUUCAUUUUGUGCAUCCCUUAGCAAGAUGUGUCCUAAGAUCCACCAUACUGGUCAGCAGGGGCUCUUCUCCCAAGGCAUCUCCAGGACACGGGCUGAAGGAAGCUUUCAUCAUCUUUAGCUGUGCCAUCUGGAACAUGUGGCCACAGCAGUUGUCAUCGCAAGGAAAAAAGGAAUUGACAUCAUUCAAAGGCUUUCCACUUCCCCAAUCCAGAAGUGAACACAUCAUUUCUGCUCAUAUGUAAAUGGCACGGAAUAGUCACAUGGCCCCUGGCAGGGGGUGAGAAAUC